CAUCAGGAACCAUGCGAACAAACACCGCCCAAAUCCGCCAGGUCCGGAAGGAAGCAACGGUAAGCGGAGGUUUGUUGCGCCGUGACCAUCCUGAGGGCG
Molecule: signal recognition particle RNA, 99 nt
Filed under: Treponema sp.
Lineage: Bacteria; Pseudomonadati; Spirochaetota; Spirochaetia; Treponematales; Treponemataceae
Description: signal recognition particle sRNA small type
Rfam family: Bacterial small signal recognition particle RNA
About the family: The signal recognition particle (SRP) is a universally conserved ribonucleoprotein involved in the co-translational targeting of proteins to membranes. Archaeal SRP consists of a 7S RNA and homologues of the eukaryotic SRP19 and SRP54 proteins.
Source: RNAcentral